Molecule: ribosomal RNA, 497 nt
Filed under: uncultured bacterium
Lineage: Bacteria
Description: partial 16S ribosomal RNA
Rfam family: Bacterial small subunit ribosomal RNA
Source: RNAcentral
GAUGAACGCUGGCGGCGUGCCUAAUACAUGCAAGUCGAGCGAACAGACGAGGAGCUUGCUCCUUCGACGUUAGCGGCGGACGGGUGAGUAACACGUAGGUAACCUACCUAUAAGACUGGGAUAACUUCGGGAAACCGGAGCUAAUACCGGAUAAUAUUUUGAACCGCAUGGUUCGAUAGUGAAAGAUGGCUUUGCUAUCACUUAUAGAUGGACCUGCGCCGUAUUAGCUAGUUGGUAAGGUAACGGCUUACCAAGGCAACGAUACGUAGCCGACCUGAGAGGGUGAUCGGCCACACUGGAAGUGAGACACGGUCCAGACUCCUACGGGAGGCAGCAGUAGGGAAUCUUCCGCAAUGGGCGAAAGCCUGACGGAGCAACGCCGCGUGAGUGAUGAAGGUCUUCGGAUCGUAAAACUCUGUUAUUAGGGAAGAACAAACGUGUAAGUAACUGUGCACGUCUUGACGGUACCUAAUCAGAAAGCCACGGCUAACUACGUG